CGAGCGGACAGAAGGGAGCUUGCUCCCGGAUGUUAGCGGCGGACGGGUGAGUAACACGUGGGUAACCUGCCUGUAAGACUGGGAUAACUCCGGGAAACCGGAGCUAAUACCGGAUAGUUCCUUGAACCGCAUGGUUCAAGGAUGAAAGACGGUUUCGGCUGUCACUUACAGAUGGACCCGCGGCGCAUUAGCUAGUUGGUGGGGUAAUGGCUCACCAAGGCGACGAUGCGUAGCCGACCUGAGAGGGUGAUCGGCCACACUGGGACUGAGACACGGCCCAGACUCCUACGGGAGGCAGCAGUAGGGAAUCUUCCGCAAUGGACGAAAGUCUGACGGAGCAACGCCGCGUGAGUGAUGAAGGUUUUCGGAUCGUAAAGCUCUGUUGUUAGGGAAGAACAAGUGCGAGAGUAACUGCUCGCACCUUGACGGUACCUAACCAGAAAGCCACGGCUAACUACGUGCCAGCAGCCGCGGUAAUACGUAGGUGGCAAGCGUUGUCCGGAAUUAUUGGGCGUAAAGGGCUCGCAGGCGGUUUCUUAAGUCUGAUGUGAAAGCCCCCGGCUCAACCGGGGAGGGUCAUUGGAAACUGGGAAACUUGAGUGCAGAAGAGGAGAGUGGAAUUCCACGUGUAGCGGUGAAAUGCGUAGAGAUGUGGAGGAACACCAGUGGCGAAGGCGACUCUCUGGUCUGUAACUGACGCUGAGGAGCGAAAGCGUGGGGAGCGAACAGGAUUAGAUACCCUGGUAGUCCACGCCGUAAACGAUGAGUGCUAAGUGUUUAGGGGGUUUCCGCCCCUUAGUGCUGCAGCUAACGCAUUAAGCACUCCGCCUGGGGGAGUACGGUCGCAAGACUGAAACUCAAAGGAAUUUGACGGGGGCCCGCACAAGCGGUGGAAGCAUGGGGGUUUAAUUCGAAGCAACGCGAAGAACCUUACCAGGUCUUGACAUCCUCUGACAACCCUAGAAGAUAGGGCUUUCCCUUCGGGGACAGAGUUGACAGGUGGGGGGCAUGGUUGUCGUCAGCUCGUGUCG
This 1031-nucleotide ribosomal RNA is filed under the name Bacillus sp. (in: firmicutes). RNAcentral describes it as "bacterial SSU rRNA". It matches the Rfam family "Bacterial small subunit ribosomal RNA", at positions 63 to 1067 of the family's 1533-position model. Lineage: Bacteria; Bacillati; Bacillota; Bacilli; Caryophanales; Bacillaceae. The record is from RNAcentral.